UACACUUCUGGUGAUUAAAUCUACAAAUGAACAGGGAAGAGUUAAUCCUAGCUUCACAAUCCUCCCUGUGAUCAUUUAGGAGACUAGUCUCCCCAAAUUAAUUUGACAUAAUCAUCUUGUACCCCUAAAAAUCUUCUAACUACAGGUGUACGCAACAUUGCACCUUCUGAGAAGAAACUACAAUAGAAAUAAGAGGGAAAUAGAAGAGAGAGAAUGCAAACCAAUGGUUGCUAGGUACAUUGACAAAAAGCCAAUUAGGGGGCAGUCCCCUUUGGCAUAAAAGUUUACAUUCAAAAUAAAUGUCCAACCCCCCCCUCAGUUCAAUCAAUUGCACUAAAAAAUUCAUUCUGGAUCUUUUUGAUGUAAUGUAGGUUUCUGCAGGCAUCUUUCUCCAAACAGUUCAUUCUCUGGAUUCAAGGAGUUAGCAAGCUUCAUCCCCUGGAAUUUUCCUCAAACAAAAUUUUAAAUCUUUUAAAUCUUAGAUUUUUAUGAAAAUAUAAUAUACUACUAAUCCUUAUAUGACAUGAAUUCAAGAUACUUUGCCAUCCUGGAUGCUCUUCUCUAGACAUUACAUCUUAUCCAAAGCCUUUCUUUAACCACAGUAUCCAGAAAUAAUAUAUACUAUUCCAAAUGAUAUCUGAGUACAAUGGGUUGAUCACUUUACUAUCCCUAACCAUUCAGCCCCAAGAUCACAUUAGACAUCAUGCACCAUCACAAUACUGACUCAUUUCAAAUUUGCAGUCCAGUAAGAGGGCAAAGGGAAAGGAACAAGCAUUUCUUAAGCACCUACUUUGUUUCAGGCAUUUUAUCUAAUACUUUCUCAAUCCUUAUGACAACUGCAGGAGCUCCAGCCCAGUGUUCUAGUCUUCCAGAGAGUUACAUAUCCCUUCCAGCUUUGUGCCAUCUGCAUAUUGGAUGAGUAUGCCAUCUACAGUUUUUAUCCAAGCCACUAAAUUGUUCCUAGGACAAUGAAGACUGAAAAGAAAGUAAAAUUUCUUCUCUAGUCAAUCCUAUAAGUCUCCUGGGAGUCUUUACCUUUUAAGAGAGUUUAAUAGAGAUUAUAGAUAAUUUGUUUGCAUAUCUAUGAAACCCAUAGAUAGACUUUUUUAUUCUUAAAUCUCUGGGGAGUCUUUUUCCACCUCUUGAAAGAAUAUAAUAGGAUAAAUAGGUUAAUGUUUCAUGUUUUAAAUAUUUAUCAAUGUGUACUUACAAGCCUUUUAUAUUUUAAGCAUUUCUUUUGUGGCCUAUUUAGCUUUUCUAGAAGUGAGUCUCUUGAUCUAUAUUGGUAUGGCUCUAGACAUAAGUCAAACCAAAAGUUUACUGAGACUUCCCCCUGAUAAAUAUUCUGGGAUACCAGCAUACCAGGAGUCAGGGAAUAUAAGAAAAUCCCAAUGCCUUCUCUUUGGGGUAAACUUUCCAGCAUCCAACCCCAAAGGGUUUGUAUAAUACAAAACUUGGUCCUAUUUUGGGAGCCCCUCCCUAUUCCCACUCCAACACACACACCUCAGCCAAAAGUGACUUUCAUCAUGGCAGGAAUAUGGUGUAAUAGGUGACAGCACAAUCAGAAGACCAGGAUAUUAAUAUUUAUUUUACUGGGCCUCAGUUUUUAUUCAUAAAGUGAAGAGACUAGUCUGAAAAAUUGUUAAAGCCCUUUCUCUUUCUACAAUUACAAAACUAUUAUAUUCCUCAUUGGUGUUUAAUACAAAGUAGUCACAUUUUGGGGUUGGUUGUUCCAGCUCAGUCUUGGCAAUAUUUUUAUUUAUUUUUGUUAGCUUUGUUUUCAGAGUCAAAUGAGAGCCAGGAAGGAAGGUGAUUCAAGGAAUCUUUUACUCUGAUUAAACAGCUUGAAUACUAUAAAAGCUUCAGACUUAAGAAAAUAACUUGUGGAGGGACGAUGGGGAUAUGUUUGGGGAUAUAGA
RNAcentral lists this long non-coding RNA (1919 nucleotides) under Monodelphis domestica (gray short-tailed opossum). RNAcentral describes it as "lncRNA (ENSMODG00000036787.1)". The record is from RNAcentral. Lineage: Eukaryota; Metazoa; Chordata; Mammalia; Didelphimorphia; Didelphidae.